GAUAGGAUGAGCCGCAUGACUUGCUGUGCCCUUCCGCUUCCGACGACAGAAUCAACACCGUCGUACGCGAACGCCGAAGGCAAGGUGCUUCCGAUUCGUCUUCUCCAUCCGUUCGAUCCCGUUGAGAAUCUAGGGUUUCCAGAUUCUCAAAACGGUUCCUUCCUGUGAACUCUGAAGCAUCCUAGAUCUUCUCUUCGGCCUCGGAUUAAAGGGUUGGGUAAGAGGUAUUGGAAAUAAGAGAGCUGGUCAAACCAUGGCGGUUGCAAUGUCCUCAUCCUCGUUCUCGCUUGCCUCAAUCUUCCUCCGACGCAUUUCUGCUGCUACUCUCAAUCAUGCCCCUCCUGUUUCAGCACUAAAAACACCACUACUGCCCUCAGCAACUAUUCCCACUUAUCAUGGAACAACACACAGGUCAUCCCUUCUGACUAACCCCUCAGUUGAGCUUUGUAGAAGGAUCUCUUUUGUGCCCCCGUCCAGUGAUUACUUACCAUAUGGCAGUCUCCGCAAGAGGGGUUUCUGCAGUGUAAGGGCCACAGAGGUGUCUGAUUCCGGCUCGAUCGACUCCCCUAUGAUACAAGCCAUGGAGAAGAAGAUUAAGGAGCAACUUAACGCGGAUGCUGUCGUCGUUAAAGAUGCAUAUGGAGAUGGCCGACAUGUAAGCAUCGACGUAGUCUCCAAAGCAUUUGAAGGACAAUCAUCCGUGAACAGGCAGAGAAUGGUAUACAAAGCUAUAUGGGAGGAGCUUCAGAGCACUGUGCAUGCUGUUGACCAAAUGACAACAAAAACUCCCGCAGAGAUCAACACAAAUAAAUAGUUUCAAUUUAGGCACUAUUCAAUUAUAUUUUGUGAUACUAUUUUCAAGCUGUGAUAACUUAAUGUCCAAUUCCCUAGGUCAUUAUGGGUCGUUUGCAAACUUGAGAAUAAUUCCUGCAUCAUAGAAGAAAAUCAAUUCUCUCAUGUAAUCGUGUUCUAUUCUAUGCCACUGGUGAAGAUGACAUAGGAUGGCUUUCAUGUUAUUUGCAGACUCCAAAUUUCAUGUUGGUUUUAGCUUCUUGUCCUUAAAGGCUUUGGCGCACCAAAUUCCAACUUCUAUAUGUUAUAUCAUGGCUUUGCAGUUUGUGUCAUCACAAAAGAGUAGUAGCUGGAGGCUUAGUUCAGUUCAUGUUCUACAUGGAGCAAUAGAGAUUGAUCUUAUAGAAUGAGCGAAACAAGGGGAAUUUAAUAUCAAAAAUCAGAAACAGACAUUUUAUCUAGAGCAGAGGAUCUCCCAUCUCUAAUCAACAUUUGGUGACCAGCAAGAGCUUUAGAUGCCUAAUUUGCUCCAUAACCUGCCUUGACACAGCAACUCUGAGCCUCUUCAGCUUUAUGCCAAUCUUUGACCUCCUCAACCUGCAAGCUCUGAGCUUCGAAGCACAUGGUGGUCUCCUUCUACUCCUCUCGUCAGCUUCUUUCAGUAUCUUGUAGAUCAGAAAUCUUGCUUUCAGAUGCCGCACGUCUUCCGGAUCUUCCUUCUCAAUUCGUGAGUAGGAAUGGGGAUUCUCAAAGAGAUGCAUCUCAGUGAGGCUUAAGAGUUGCAUAAGCAGCAACAAGGGCUCAUAUAGAGAGAUGCACAUAGCAGCCCUUAGCUGUGUUCACAAUUCAUUCAAUCAGGAAUUUAAGUUCAUUUAUCUUCCUUUAUCAGCUCUUUUAAGAACAUAUGCCUUGAACAUGGCUUCCUGUGGUCACCUUGUUGUUGACUACCAAAUCAAUCCUCACUGGAAUUGUCCACCAAGAACACAUCAUUCUAGCUAUUUGCAAACUGGCAUGAUAUGGUAUGUGGGAUUUAAGUAUGGAUGAUAAAUCCAACAUUUUAGCAUACAGGUAAAUAUAUUAUUUCUUGUUUA
Zingiber officinale is the source of this 1883-nucleotide long non-coding RNA. RefSeq lists it as uncharacterized. The transcript is spliced from 3 exons. The record is from RefSeq and is a predicted model, not a curated record. NCBI's taxonomy places the organism in Eukaryota, Viridiplantae, Streptophyta, Magnoliopsida, Zingiberales, Zingiberaceae.